RNAcentral lists this ribosomal RNA (740 nucleotides) under uncultured marine bacterium. RNAcentral describes it as "bacterial SSU rRNA". It matches the Rfam family "Bacterial small subunit ribosomal RNA", at positions 9 to 795 of the family's 1533-position model. The record is from RNAcentral.
GAGUUUGAUCCUGGCUCAGAACGAACGCUGGCGGCAGGCCUAACACAUGCAAGUCGAGCGCGCCUUUCGGGGUGAGCGGCGGACGGGUUAGUAACGCGUGGGAAUAUGCCCAAAGGUACGGAAUGGCCUCUGGAAACGGAGAGUAAUACCGUAUGUGCCCUUCGGGGGAAAGAUUUAUCGCCUUUGGAUUAGCCCGCGUUAGAUUAGGUAGUUGGUGGGGUAAUGGCCUACCAAGCCUACGAUCUAUAGCUGGUUUUAGAGGAUGAUCAGCAACACUGGGACUGAGACACGGCCCAGACUCCUACGGGAGGCAGCAGUGGGGAAUCUUGGACAAUGGGGGCAACCCUGAUCCAGCCAUGCCGCGUGAGUGAUGAAGGCCUUAGGGUCGUAAAGCUCUUUCGCCUGUGAAGAUAAUGACGGUAGCAGGUAAAGAAACCCCGGCUAACUCCGUGCCAGCAGCCGCGGUAAUACGGAGGGGGUUAGCGUUGUUCGGAAUUACUGGGCGUAAAGCGCACGUAGGCGGAUCGGAAAGUUGGGGGUGAAAUCCCGGGGCUCAACCCCGGAACUGCCUCCAAAACUAUCGGUCUAGGGUUCGAGAGAGGUGAGUGGAAUUCCGAGUGUAGAGGUGAAAUUCGUAGAUAUUCGGAGGAACACCAGUGGCGAAGGCGGCUCACUGGCUCGAUACUGACGCUGAGGUGCGAAAGUGUGGGGAGCAAACAGGAUUAGAUACCCUGGUAGUC